UGGAGAGCUUAAUCGGGUUAUUAGAUUAGCCAUGUGCUAAAACUCCCUUACGCACAUGGUUGAAACUGAAACGGAAUUGAUGUCGUCGGCGGGUACGGACGACGACAGUUUCUUCCCGUUCGACCGUUUGUUACAGCAGAAGCCCCACCUCUCUCAUCAAACCACCGCAGCCGUCGUUAUCUUACGCUCAUGAAACUACUUUGCCCCCUUCAUUUAACCCUAACUUACUUUUCCAAAUCUUAUUCGCUUUACUCACCCAAUCAACUUUUUCCCAUGAUUUUAAGUGAUCGAUUCCAUACGCAUGUUUGGUGUCGCUUCAAAACCCCGUUUCUCGCCCCUAAAUUUCGAUUUAUUUACCCUAGGGUUUCGAUCCGGUUCGCCGAGGUUUUUGUCUCUUCGGGGUGAUUCCGGAGGUGAGGAAAUGGAAUUUGUUCGGAAAUUGGGGGGAAGGUGUUGUUUUGUUCAGUCGAGGAAGAAGAACCAUAAAGUGGAAGUGAUUGAGUCCGAUAAUAAUGUCGUUAGCGGUGAAGAUAUUUUUGAAGCGGUGUCUGCCGGAGCCAUGGUUCCACCUGAUCACCUUGUAAUCAUGGUUAAUGGGAUCAUUGGCAGUGCUGCAGAUUGGAGAUAUGCUGCUCAGCAAUUUCUCGAUAGGCUUCCUGAUAAAGUAAUUGUUCACUGCAGUGAAUGCAAUUGUUCCACCUUGACUUUUGAUGGUGUUGACCGAAUGGGUGAAAGAUUAGCUGAAGAGGUAAUAGAAGUUGCCAAAAGGUGGCCUGAGGUGUCCAAGAUCUCAUUUGUAUCACAUUCAUUAGGUGGUUUAGUUGCCAGAUAUGCAAUUGGAAUUCUUUAUGAAAAAAAUUCACAACAAAAACAAAAUUUUGAAGCUAAAAUUGCUACUUUGCAACCAAUCAACUUCAUUACAGUUGCAACUCCACAUCUUGGUUCUAGAGGACACAGACAGCUUCCGAUUCUUUGUGGUCUUCCAUUUCUUGAAAGACGGGCCCCACAAACAGCUCAUUGGUUAGUUGGGAGAUCAGGGAAGCAUCUUUUUCUUACAGACAAUGAUGUUGAGGGACAGCCACUUCUCCUUCGAAUGGUUUAUGACUCUGAAGACAUUAAGUUCAUGUCGGCUUUAAGAUCUUUCAAGAGACGUGUGGCUUAUGCUAAUGCCAACUAUGAUCACGUGGUUGGGUGGAACACAUCAUCAAUUCGUCGUCAACAUGAACUUCCAAAGCCGAACCUUCUUGUAAAGGAUAAGAAGUAUCCACACAUUGUUUAUGUUCAGCCUGAAUCUGAUGACAUCAUCAAGAAUGAGGGGACAUCUUCUGUAGGUGUACCUCAAACUUUAGAAGGUCUAUUUUACCCUUUUAAAUUAGGAGAUGCUUCGAGGUCUUACUCAAGUACCUUGGGAACGUGUUGAUGUUAGCUUCCAUAAAAGCACACAACGAUAUAUUGCACAUAGUACUAUUCAGGUGAAAAGCUACUGGUUAAAUUCAGAUGGCGCAGAUGUGGUUCUUCAUAUGAUUGAUAAUUUUGUUCUUUAGCAUACGGUUUAUAUCCUUUUUAGUACUAUUUUAAAAAGGGCAUUUAUGUCUUUUUGUGUAGAGUUGUUUAACGAUAGAUUUUGUAAUUACUUAUAUAACUAGACUAAGGGGCUGUUUGGUAGAAAGUGAAUGGUCUAAUUAAAAAGUAUUAAACACA
Lactuca sativa (garden lettuce) is the source of this 1701-nucleotide non-coding RNA. NCBI's taxonomy places the organism in Eukaryota, Viridiplantae, Streptophyta, Magnoliopsida, Asterales, Asteraceae. The record is from RefSeq and is a predicted model, not a curated record.